Molecule: ribosomal RNA, 738 nt
Filed under: uncultured Dickieia
Lineage: Eukaryota; Bacillariophyta; Bacillariophyceae; Cymbellales; Anomoeoneidaceae
Description: bacterial SSU rRNA
Rfam family: Bacterial small subunit ribosomal RNA
Source: RNAcentral
AAUUUACCUUUAGGAGGGGGAUAACAACUGGAAACGGUUGCUAAUACCCCAUAUGCUUUCGAGUGAAAUGGAUUUUUCCGCCUAAAGAGGAGCUUGCGGCUGAUUAGCUUGUUGGUGAGGUAAUGGCUCACCAAGGCGACGAUCAGUAUCUGGUUUGAGAGGACGAUCAGACACACUGGAACUGAGACACGGUCCAGACUCCUACGGGAGGCAGCAGUGGGGAAUUUUCCGCAAUGGGCGAAAGCCUGACGGAGCAAUACCGCGUGAGGGAUGACGGCCUAUGGGUUGUAAACCUCUUUUUUCAGGGAGGAAUCAAUGACGUGUACCUGAAGAAUAAGCAUCGGCUAACUCCGUGCCAGCAGCCGCGGUAAGACGGAGGAUGCAAGUGUUAUCCGGAAUCACUGGGCGUAAAGCGUCUGUAGGUGGUCUAGUAAGUCAACUGUUAAAUCUUGAGGCUCAACUUCAAAAUCGCAGUCGAAACUAUUAGACUAGAGUAUAGUAGGGGUAAAGGGAAUUUCCAGUGGAGCGGUGAAAUGCGUAGAGAUUGGAAAGAACACCGAUGGCGAAGGCACUUUACUGGGCUAUUACUGACACUGAGAGACGAAAGCUAGGGUAGCAAAUGGGAUUAGAUACCCCAGUAGUCCUAGCCGUAAACAAUGGAUACUAGAUGUUGAACAGAUCGACCUGUGCAGUAUCAAAGCUAACGCGUUAAGUAUCCCGCCUGGGAAGUACGCUCGC